GGUGUUUGGGCGUUCAGGGCGAGGGUGGGCUCUGCAGAAAGCCCGGGGACGCCCGAGGACCACUUUUCUACCCUACUUCCCUCUGUGGGAGACGGUGAGAGUUAGAAACGUUCUGAGCGCUCCAGGAGCGCCGCGGGACUGGGCAGGCUGGAGAGGUAAAGCGCGGGGCGAGAACGCGAUGGAGUCGCUUGUGCGCUGCGCGCCAAGUUCGGGCAGCAGAGUCGGUCCUGCGGCGGAGCGCGCUCUGGAGCCUGGAGGGGAUCUAGGAGCCGCCCUUAGUUCUCCCGAGGCGGUCCUGGACAAAGAGAUGCCCGCCUGUAGCUGCGGUCCCCGCCUUCCUCUGAGAUCACACUCCCACGCAGGAGGCAGGGCCCGGGAUGAUUGGGACGCUCUAACAGGUUUCUCCAAUUCAGUACCUGUUUCCCUGAAUGCCUUCGUCUUGGGCGCCCGACUCUGGCCAGAGGUAGAAAUCCUGGACCUUUGGCCCCAUGCUUGACUCGGGACUCCUGUAAGCUCUUGGGGUCUUGAAAAGAAUGUUCUUGACUCCACUUCUCUCCUGUUUGGAUCCCAAGGGCUUCAGGUCUCUCCGUUAAAAUGGAGAACUUGGGGUGGGUACACAGAGGUUCCUGUGUCCCCUAAAAAAACCUCUUGAUCCCGGUCUCUGUUCUGAGCCCCCUUAAAGGCUCUGAGGCUGUCUUGGAGGGUAGAUCCUAAGACUGUUAAACUGUUACCUACCAUCACCCUAGAAGAUUCCUUCUACAUUUUGGAGGUGCUUCGCCCUUUUAAAUUGAUCCCCUAGAAUGUGGGUUGGGGUGAAGGACCAGAAGAUGGGAGGGUUUCUCCACCACAGAAGCUACCUGAGUGAACAGAGUCGAAAGGUGGGGUAAGUCUUCUGGACUCCACCGUGAUGCUUAAUUAUUAAGGGGUACUUGCUUGGUACUGUAGUUGGCAGGGACAGAUGCUAGGGUAGGUGCCUGUCCCCCCAAAAGAGUUUGUGGGUGAACUUUCGGAAGGCUAGCUCUAACUCCAGGGCUGCUUCCUCAGUUGAUCCACAGGUCUGAACUUCGCCUUCUGCCCUUUCGAAUUGUGAGGGAGACAGUUGCUGCACAUGGGAGACCUCUUCUAGGCCCCAGUGCUUGAGUCUAGAAGCUCUUGGUGGGCCUGUCUCGGAAUACAGACUCUGAACUUUCCCAAGCCACCCAAACAGCAGAGGGCACUGUGCAGUGGGAGUUGGCUGUUUGGUUUUGCUUUCUCUAGUUCCUGCCCCAGAGACCUAGGGCUUAUAUAACCACCACCUUGCCGGGCGUGGUGGCUCAUGCCUGUAAUCCAAGCGCUUUGGAGGCCGAGGCGGGUGGAUCACCUGAGGUCAGGAGUUCAAGACUAGCCUGACCAACAUGGUGAAACCCCAUCUUAAGAAAAAAAAAAAAGUAAUAACCACCACCUUAAGCCCUGCGUGAAUGAAGGAAAAUGAGGGCCUGGUGGUGGUUUGGCUUAAAGUAUGGGAAGGCCUGAAAGAGAACCGAGUCUUCUGGGCUUUGGCUAUUUUUUUUUUUUUUUUUUUUGAGGCAGAGUCUCACUCUGUCUCCUAGGCUGGAGAUCAGCUUACUGCAAUCUCCACCUCCUGGGUUUAAGUGAUUCUCCUGCCUUGGCCUGCUGAGUAGCUGGAUUACAGGCGCCCUCCUGUGAUCUCAUUCCUUGGUGAAAAUUUACUUUAGUCUAUAUUCUUAUCCCAUUCAAAAGUGAAGUGAGAUUCCCCUAAACAUCAAAAUUAGCCUAAUUUUGUAUUUUUAGUAGAGAUGGGGUUUCACAUGUUGGCCAGGUUAGUCUUGAACUCCUGACUUCAGAUGAUCUGCCUGCCUCGGCCUCUUAAAGUGCUGGGAUUACAGGUGUGAGCCACCUUGCCCGGUCAGGCUUCAAAACUUUGGACUAGGUAACACUAAGCUUCAGCCCUUAGGAAAGACAAGGGUGCUCCCAGGGAAGGCUUUUCAAGCCCCCAUCUUUUACUCCACACCACUCAGGGCAUGUUCCUCUGCUCACCCUCAUAGUGUGAGUGCAUCUCCAUCCACGUGGGCCAGGUGGGAGUUCAGAUGGGCAAUGGCUCCUGGGAGCUUUACUGCCUGGAACACAACAUCCAGCCUAGGGUACCAUGCCCAGCCACAAUGCCCUGGGGAGCAGUGAUGACUCUUUCAACACCUUCAGGGAGACCCAGGCUGGCAGACAUGUGUCCCAGGCUGUCUUUGUGGACCUGGAGCCUGCUGCCAUAGGUGAGUGGAUGGAGGAGUAGGGCCCCCUCCCCCAGGCCAUAGUUUUUGCUAGCGCCAAUGUCAGAUGGGAGCUCUGCUUAAGAGGAAAAUACUUGAGAUGAAAGCCGUCUCCUCCCAUGAACACUGAUGUCUGAAGUCUAUUGCUUUUGUCUAGACUCUGUCCUCGGAAGGGGUCCUGGGGGCUUCCUGUAUUGAGAGGAAGAUCAUUCCCACAGCUCUGCCUGGAGACUGCCAGAUUAUAAGUCAGUGUUCAGGCCGAGAAUGCAGACUGAGUGGAUGUAAAAGCAGAAAUUUAAAACUAGCUUUUCCCUGCCCUCAGGCUCUUGAGGGUGGCCCAUUGCCUAAGAAACAGGGAGCCGAGAACAUUCAUAAUGGCCCUCUGCUUGGCCUUAACUGAAAUAGGCCUCUUGUGGGAUGUGGGCCUGUGUGAACCGGCUGUUGCUGGCUUCCGGAGGCUUUCCUGCUUCCUCCCUUCUGCAGCUGGAUCUCCUCAGCUUCCAAGUCAUGGCAAUCCUACCCCUCCCCCAUUUUUAAAAGCUGUUAUUUUAGAUGUUAAACACUGGACUGGGUUUCUUCGUUCGUCUGUAUUCCUUUUCUCAUUCCUUGGUGAAAAUUUACAUUAGUCUAUAUUCGAAAAUGAAGUGAGCUUCCUGUAAACACCACUCUGAUUCCUCACCCAGCAAAAUGAAAUGGCUGUGAUCAGAGGGAAAGGGCCACCAAAGGUACCGCCUGCUCUCCCCAUCCCAGGCCCAGGCAGGACCCAGCCUUAGAAGUGGGCCUCUGGGAUGCUUUGUGUCAUCACUCUGUUGAGCAGUUUGGAGCAGUAAAGGUUCUGGUGUCUGGUGUUCCCUUGGGGAAUGAGACCAGCUUGUUUUUAACCUUUGUUCUUUCUCACCCUCAAGAUGCGGUAAGAACUGACUUUUUUUUUUGAGACGGAGUUUUACUCUGUUGCCCAGGCUGGAGUCCAAUGGCACGAUCUCAGCUCACUGCAACCUCCGCCUCCCAGGUUCAAGUGAUUCUCCUGCCUCAGCUUCCCAAGUAGCUGGGGUUGCAGGUGCCCGCCACCAUGCCCCGCUAUUUUUUUUGUAUUUUUAGUAGAGACAGGGUUUCCUUACUUCCUUCACCAGGUUGACCAGACUGGUCUGGAACUCCUGACCUUAGGUGAUCCACCCACCUCUGCCUCCCAAAGUGCUGGGAUUACAGGUGUGACCCACUGCACCCAGCUCAAGAACUGGCAUUUAUAGGCAGCUCUUCCACCCUGAGCAGCUGAUAUCUGGUAUGGAAGAUGCUGCCAACAACUAUGCCUGUGGCCAGUACACUGCAGGGAAGGAGAUCAUCAAUUUGGUGCUAGAGCGAAUCCGACAACUGGUGAGCAGGCCUCGAGGACCUACAGGAGGUCAUUGCAUCCUUAGCCUUUUCCCUGGCUGAGAGGCAGCCACAGCCUGUGCUGGUACCUGACAUCAUUCCUCCAGCCUGUCAGUCCACUCAGCUUCCCCUAGGGGGAUGUGUGUUUUCCCAACCUGGAUGCGGAUCUAGGGUUGCAAGCCUGAAUAACUUGCUCUGCCUUGAGUUUGUGGACUCAAGCUUCUGUCCUGGUGCUUCCUCACUUUGCCAGGUCUGUCUGAUCCAAGCCUUCUUUGACCUUUGGUCGAUCUCCACAGCAGCUCAGCUUGUGGUUCUUAGACUCUUACGCAGAUCUGUCCAGGUAGGAGGGGCUCCUGCCUAGCGCUCAGCCAUUUCUCCAGUUGACCCAUCCCCUGUUUGAGGCACUGAGAACCAUGAGUGAGGCUACCUGUGAGCCAGGACUUUGGCUCUGUUGCUGUAAAGGAUUGUCUGGAUAUCCCCUCUGCUGCUCAGUAGACACUGAGGACUUGGAAGGGACUUGAGGACUGGGAGUCUGUGCCCCCUUCUUCAAGAAUGAAAAGAAAAUGCCUCCUAGAGCUAGAAUUCUCUUAUACGGUCACUACCCAUGUGUCUGGUAUAGACUGAUGCUUUUCUUACCCAAGGAACACCUGUACCAGAAUCACCUGGGGUACUUGUUAAAGCUUCGGGUUCCUGUGUUCCAGUCUCAGGUGACACCUGGUAAUCUGUCUGUUCUUUUCCUUUUUUUUUUAACUGAAACUACCUUUGCAUGUAUGUUCAGUAAGUUGCCACCACCACUCCCACUCCGCUGUAACUAGAUGGCAGAGCAACAUAACUGAGAGGGCCUGGCUCUGACUGCAAAUCUUAUAUCCUGUCUCAUCCCUACCAUUGCAUAGACACAGCACUGUCUUUCCGGGUCAUCUUUUCCCCAGGAACUCCAACCCUCUUGUAGAUAAUCUUUUUUUUGAGAGAGUCGCUCUGUUGCCUAGGCUGGAGUGUCACUAGUGGUGUGGUCACAGCUCACUGCAACCUCCGCCUCCUGGGCUCAAGCGAUCCUCCCACCUCAGCCUCCUGAGUAGCUGGGACUGCAGGUAUACACCACACGCAGAUAAUUUUUGUAUUUUUUUGUAGAGAUGAGGUUUUGCCAUCCCAGCACUUUGGACAGCUGAGGUCCACCACACCUGGACAGGUGAUCUUUUUUCACCUCUAUGGAGGUGAAGCAAAAGGACAUGAGGGAACUUUCUGAGGGUGAUGAGAAUUUCUUUAUCUCUGUUGGUUUGGUUAUAUAGGUGUCUAUGCAUGUCAAAUCAUUCACCGUACAUCCAAUAAGAUGCACACGCUUUAUACUUCAAAGUCUUCCUAAAAUACAGAAGUUAAUGCAAGUGUAGUUGGGUAAUAGUAGCUUUCAACACAGAAGUUUCCUCAGGAAAAGAGGGUUGGAGCAGGUGACGUGCCAUCUGCAUCCUUAACGAUGUUAUCUCCUACUCCAGACAGAUGAGUGGGGCUUCAGGGCUUCCUGCUCUUCCAUAGCUUUAGGGGUGGCACUGGCUCAGGCUUGACCUCCCUGCUGAUGGAGCAGCUUUCUGUGGACUGUGGCAAGAAGCUCAAGUUGGAGUUUGCUAUUUACCUGGUCCCUCAAGUGUCCCCGGCAGUUGUAGAACCCUAUAACUUCAUCUUGACCACCCACACCACCCUGGGGCACUCAGAUUGCCUUCAUGGUGGACAAUGAAGCCAUCUCUGAUAUCUGCUGCCACAACCUGGACCUCAAGUGCCCUACCUGUGCCAACUUCAACCGGCUCAUCAGCCAGAUUGUGUCCUCCAUCACUGCUUCCUUGCAUUUUGACGGUGCCCUCACUGUGGACCUCACAGAGUUCCAGACUCAUCUGGUGCCCUACCCUUGUAUCCACUUUCCCCUGGUGACCUGCUCGCCCAGUAUCUCAGCUGAGAAGGUCAACCAUGAGUGGCUGUCAGUGGCAGAGAUCACCAGUGCCUACUUUGGACCCUGCAAUCAGACGGUCAAGUGUGACUCUCGCCAAGGCAAGUACAUGGCCUGCCACAUGCUCUGCUGUGGAGAGGUGGUCCCCAAGAAUGUGAAUGCCGCCAUCACCACCAUUAAAACCAAGUGGAAUAUCCAGUUUGUGGACUGGUGUCCCACAGGUUUCAAGGUUGGUAUCAACUACCAGCCCCCUACAGUGGUGCCUGGGGGUACCCUAGCCAAGGUUCGGCGGGAGGUCUGCAUGCUGAGCAGUACCACAGCCGUCACCGAGGCCUGGGCCCACCUGGACCACAAGUUUGACCUGAAGUAUGCCAAUCAGGCAUUCAUGCAUUGGUAUGAGGGCAAGGGCUUGGAGGAAAGGGAGCUGUCUGAGGCAUGAGGACCUGGCUGCCCUGGAGAAGGAUUAUGAAGUAGGCACAGAGUCUUUGCGAGGAUGAGCAUGAGUUCUAGGGGUCCUGGCACCUGUAACACCUGGUCUCUCGUACCUCAGUUGUGUGUGUAUAGCUGUUUCCUGAAUCCCUACUAAUACUGUUGAUGUUGCAAGUGAUCUGGAACUGUGUGGAAUUCUGCCCAGGCAGUGGGCCAUCUUUAAGAUUCCCAGCUUCCUUUGAUGUCUUUUUUUUUUUUUUCUUUAGAUGGAGUUUUACUCUUUCACCAGGCUGGAGUGCAGUGGCACGAUCUCAGCUCACUGCAACCUCUGUCUCCUGGGUUCAAGCGAUUCCCCAGCCUCAGUCUCCUGAGUUGUUGGGAUUACAGGUAUGCGCCACCAUGCCUGGCUAAUUUUUUUUUUUCCGUAUUUUAGUAGAGACGGGGAUUCACUAUGGCCAGGAUGGUCUCUGUCUUGAUCUCCUGACCUCAUGAUCUGCCUGUCUCAGCCUCCCAAAGUUCUGGGAUUACAGGCGUGAGCCACCGCGCCCAGCCCCUUUGAUGUCUUUCUAAGUGAAAGGGCAAGAUGGCCUCUGCUGCUAGGGCCUCCAGCCAGGGCGUGUCUAGAGAAGGGUUGGCACUGCUUUUCUCCUGUGUGAGUGGCCCACCCUGACAGCUCUUUGCCAGCUCAGCACCCAGGCUGUAGAACUUCGACUUCACAGGGGUCCCUAUUUGUGCCCCCUUGUUGCCAGCCCACCCCGAGGAAGAGUAAGGCUUCUAGAGGUUUUGAUGAAAGCUGCCAAGGGUUUAUCUGCCCCCAGUAUUCUGGGACAGAAACUGCUGGGCUCCAGUGCCGCAAGGAAUCAAGCACUUCUCACUCUCCUCCUGCCUGAUGGCCAACAGAGGGCGGUAGAGGUUGUCUGCACAGGCCUGCCUGCAGCAGCCAUCUUAGACUUGAGGGCUCUACCCUGAUGUCUUAAAAGGCAAGGUCCAAGAAACAGGAUUAAAAACAAAAAAAGCAGUGGUCUCCAGCCUGGGACUAUGAACAUGUGAAACAACUUCCUUUAAGGCACAGGGUCUCACUGUGUUGCACGGGCUGGAGUGUCAUGGUUAUUGUCACACAUGUGGUCACAGCAUGCUACAGCCUUGGAGUCCUGGGCUCAAGCCAUCCUCCUGCCUCAGCCUCCCCAUGUGGUGGACUAUAGGCACCACCUCAUACCUGGCUAUGAAGUAAAUUUUAAAAGUACCUGUGAGACUCGUAGGCAAGAAGUCUUAUGUCUUAUU
This is a non-coding RNA of Callithrix jacchus (white-tufted-ear marmoset), 7272 nucleotides long. Lineage: Eukaryota; Metazoa; Chordata; Mammalia; Primates; Cebidae. The record is from RefSeq and is a predicted model, not a curated record.